AAAUUGAAGAGUUUGAUCAUGGCUCAGAUUGAACGCUGGCGGCAGGCCUAACACAUGCAAGUCGAGCGGUAGCACAGAAGAGCUUGCUCUUCGGGUGACGAGCGGCGGACGGGUGAGUAAUGUCUGGGAAACUGCCUGAUGGAGGGGGAUAACUACUGGAAACGGUAGCUAAUACCGCAUAACGUCUUCGGACCAAAGAGGGGGACCUUCGGGCCUCUUGCCAUCGGAUGUGCCCAGAUGGGAUUAGCUAGUAGGUGAGGUAAUGGCUCACCUAGGCGACGAUCCCUAGCUGGUCUGAGAGGAUGACCAGCCACACUGGAACUGAGACACGGUCCAGACUCCUACGGGAGGCAGCAGUGGGGAAUAUUGCACAAUGGGCGCAAGCCUGAUGCAGCCAUGCCGCGUGUGUGAAGAAGGCCUUCGGGUUGUAAAGCACUUUCAGCGGGGAGGAAGGCGAUAAGGUUAAUAACCUUGUCGAUUGACGUUACCCGCAGAAGAAGCACCGGCUAACUCCGUGCCAGCAGCCGCGGUAAUACGGAGGGUGCAAGCGUUAAUCGGAAUGACUGGGCGUAAAGCGCACGCAGGCGGUCUGUUAAGUUGGAUGUGAAAUCCCCGGGCUUAACCUGGGAACUGCAUUCAAAACUGACAGGCUAGAGUCUUGUAGAGGGGGGUAGAAUUCCAGGUGUAGCGGUGAAAUGCGUAGAGAUCUGGAGGAAUACCGGUGGCGAAGGCGGCCCCCUGGACAAAGACUGACGCUCAGGUGCGAAAGCGUGGGGAGCAAACAGGAUUAGAUACCCUGGUAGUCCACGCUGUAAACGAUGUCGACUUGGAGGUUGUGCCCUUGAGGCGUGGCUUCCGGAGCUAACGCGUUAAGUCGACCGCCUGGGGAGUACGGCCGCAAGGUUAAAACUCAAAUGAAUUGACGGGGGCCCGCACAAGCGGUGGAGCAUGUGGUUUAAUUCGAUGCAACGCGAAGAACCUUACCUACUCUUGACAUCCAGAGAAUUUGCUAGAGAUAGCUUAGUGCCUUCGGGAACUCUGAGACAGGUGCUGCAUGGCUGUCGUCAGCUCGUGUUGUGAAAUGUUGGGUUAAGUCCCGCAACGAGCGCAACCCUUAUCCUUUGUUGCCAGCGAGUAAUGUCGGGAACUCAAAGGAGACUGCCGGUGAUAAACCGGAGGAAGGUGGGGAUGACGUCAAGUCAUCAUGGCCCUUACGAGUAGGGCUACACACGUGCUACAAUGGCGUAUACAAAGAGAAGCGAUCUCGCGAGAGCAAGCGGACCUCAUAAAGUACGUCGUAGUCCGGAUUGGAGUCUGCAACUCGACUCCAUGAAGUCGGAAUCGCUAGUAAUCGUAGAUCAGAAUGCUACGGUGAAUACGUUCCCGGGCCUUGUACACACCGCCCGUCACACCAUGGGAGUGGGUUGCAAAAGAAGUAGGUAGCUUAACCUUCGGGAGGGCGCUUACCACUUUGUGAUUCAUGACUGGGGUGAAGUCGUAACAAGGUAACCGUAGGGGAACCUGCGGUUGGAUCACCUCCUUA
RNAcentral lists this ribosomal RNA (1543 nucleotides) under Pectobacterium parmentieri. Its description in RNAcentral is "bacterial SSU rRNA". It matches the Rfam family "Bacterial small subunit ribosomal RNA". The record is from RNAcentral. Lineage: Bacteria; Pseudomonadati; Pseudomonadota; Gammaproteobacteria; Enterobacterales; Pectobacteriaceae.